AGUGGUGUAUCUCAAUUGGUAGAGAGCCAGUAUAAUUUAAGGACAAUACUAAUUCAAGCUGGAGAUGAAAGGUUCAAGUCCUUCCACCACUA
Trichomonas vaginalis G3 is the source of this 92-nucleotide non-coding RNA. NCBI's taxonomy places the organism in Eukaryota, Parabasalia, Trichomonadida, Trichomonadidae. The record is from Rfam.